Molecule: ribosomal RNA, 252 nt
Filed under: uncultured Oscillospira sp.
Lineage: Bacteria; Bacillati; Bacillota; Clostridia; Eubacteriales; Oscillospiraceae
Description: partial 16S ribosomal RNA
Rfam family: Bacterial small subunit ribosomal RNA
Source: RNAcentral
UACGGAGGAUGCGAGCGUUAUCCGGAUUUAUUGGGUUUAAAGGGUGCGCAGGCGGAAUGUCAAGUCAGCGGUAAAAUUUCGGGGCUCAACCCCGUCGUGCCGUUGAAACUGUAGUUCUUGAGUACUGGAGAGGCAGACGGAAUUCCUAGUGUAGCGGUGAAAUGCGUAGAUAUUAGGAGGAACACCAGUGGCGAAGGCGGUCUGCUGGACAGCAACUGACGCUGAGGCGCGAAAGCGUGGGGAGCAAACAGG